This 468-nucleotide ribosomal RNA is filed under the name uncultured bacterium. RNAcentral describes it as "partial 16S ribosomal RNA". It matches the Rfam family "Bacterial small subunit ribosomal RNA", at positions 28 to 507 of the family's 1533-position model. The record is from RNAcentral.
GACGAACGCUGGCGGCGUGCUUAACACAUGCAAGUCGAACGGAAAGGCCCGGCGUUUGUUGGUUGCUCGAUUGGCGAACGGGUGAGUAACACGUGAGUAAACUGCCCUUGACUUUGGGAUAACUUCAGGAAACUGGGGCUCAUACCGGAUAGGAGCUCCUGCUGCAUGGUGGGGGUUGGAAAGUUCCGGCGGUUCGGGCUGGACUCGCGGCUUAUCCGCUUGUUUGUGUGGUAGUGGCUUACCAAGCCUUUGACGGGUAGCCGGCCUGAGAGGGUGACCGGCCACAUUGGGACUGAGAUACGCACCAGAAUCCUACGGGACGCAGCAGUGGAGAAUAUUGCAGAAUGGGCGGAAGCCUGAUGCAGAAACGCCGCGUGCGGGAUGACGGCCUUCGGGUUGUAAACCGCUGUCGCAUGUGACGAGGAGUGAGUGACGGUAAUGGGUAAAGAAGCACCGGCUAACUACGUG